Molecule: long non-coding RNA, 1056 nt
Organism: Vespa crabro (European hornet)
Lineage: Eukaryota; Metazoa; Arthropoda; Insecta; Hymenoptera; Vespidae
Exons: 2
Source: RefSeq, a predicted model, not a curated record
UUUUCUGUUUCCCCUUUUCUCUCUUGCACACUGUGUUGCUUGUCUGUCUGUCUGUCUGCCUAUAUGUCUGUAUGUCUGUCUGUAUGUCUGUCUCCCAGCGACGUGUAGACAAUGCACUUUUUGCCUGACCCUCGCGUUAUUGUUAUUUGAGGUUGAAAUUUAAGUGGUCGUGUACAUACCUACGAUUUGAAAAAUCUUGUUUCUUCGAUCUUUUCUAGCUUGUUUUUUCUUUUUCUUUUCUUUUUUUUUCCUUUCUUUCUUUUUUUCUUUUACUUUUUCUUUUUCUUUUAAAUGGCUGAACCUUUCGUAAUUUUUUUUUAAAUUAAUAAAAGUAUCCAAGCGACGAAUAAAAAAAAUAAAAGAUUAUCUUAGCGAAAUCAAAAACGAAUAAAAUGUUGACAUUCGAUGAGAAAUUGUCACACUAAUUACGUUCACGUAGACAUUUUGUAGUACCAUAUUCAAGGUAUUUGUUCACACGACGCGAUAUUAUUUUGCAUAUUGCUCGUCGAACGUCGAGAUCUAAGAAACCCGUAUAGAUAUACAUAUAUAUAUAUUUUUUUUUUCUUUUUCUUUUCUUAACACAAUAAAAAUAUACGUCUUGGCGAGAAAUAUGAUCGGUGGCGAUGCAGCUUAAUGAUCAUUCGCACCCUCGUUUCCCACGUUAGUGUAUCGAGAUUCUCGAAUACAGGCGGGAAAGACCGGGCACAAGAAAGAUUUUCUCAGGAUCUUUCGAGCAGACAUGAACGGACAUUUACAGGAUGGACCCCCAGCAAGUUUGUCUCCUCGACUUGGAAACUUGUUUGGCUAUGAGAAAUUCUCCUUUUUUUACGGAUAAACAGGGGUGAAUCCCGUAUUGCGACAAUAAUGCCCCUUCGUCGCUAGAAGAAUAUUCGUAUGCUCGGGAAGCUGCACCUAUAGGGGGUCGUUGGACUAUAAGACGAACGUAUCUAUUAUCAUAAUAAAGGCCACCUAAAUGUUAUGUCGUAUUAAGUUAUAGCUUUGUUUUUUCUAUUUUCUAUGAGAAUGCAAUAAAUAUCACUGUUUUUGCACGAAUGA